CUAUGCGCCUUGCCAGCCCGCUCAGGUGUGCCAGCCGCCGCGGUAAUACGGAGGAUGCGAGCGUUAUCCGGAUUUAUUGGGUUUAAAGGGUGCGCAGGCGGAUUUUUAAGUCAGCGGUCAAAUCGUGGGGCUCAACCCCAUCCAGCCGUUGAAACUGGGGAUCUAGAGUGUGCGAGAGGUAUGCGGAAUGCGUGGUGUAGCGGUGAAAUGCAUAGAUAUCACGCAGAACUCCGAUUGCGAAGGCAGCAUACCGGCGCCCUACUGACGCUGAGGCACGAAAGCGUGGGUAUCGAACAGG
RNAcentral lists this ribosomal RNA (298 nucleotides) under uncultured bacterium. RNAcentral's name for it is "partial 16S ribosomal RNA". It matches the Rfam family "Bacterial small subunit ribosomal RNA", at positions 475 to 776 of the family's 1533-position model. The record is from RNAcentral.